RNAcentral lists this ribosomal RNA (253 nucleotides) under uncultured bacterium. RNAcentral describes it as "partial 16S ribosomal RNA". It matches the Rfam family "Bacterial small subunit ribosomal RNA", at positions 524 to 776 of the family's 1533-position model. The record is from RNAcentral.
UACGGAGGUCCCGAGCGUUGUUCGGAUUCACUGGGCGUAAAGGGUGCGUAGGUGGUGAGGUAAGUCGGAUGUGAAAUCUCCAAGCUCAACUUGGAAAUGGCAUUGGAAACUACCUUGCUGGAGGUUUGGAGGGGGGACUGGAAUUCUCGGUGUAGCAGUGAAAUGCGUAGAUAUUGGGAGGAACACCAGUGGCGAAGGCGGCUCACUGGACCGGUUCUGACGCUGAUGCGCGAAAGCGUGGGGAGCAAACAGG